This 563-nucleotide ribosomal RNA is filed under the name uncultured bacterium. Its description in RNAcentral is "partial 16S ribosomal RNA". It matches the Rfam family "Bacterial small subunit ribosomal RNA", at positions 355 to 896 of the family's 1533-position model. The record is from RNAcentral.
UGGGGAAUAUUGGACAAUGGGCGCAAGCCUGAUCCAGCAAUGCCGCGUGUGUGAAGAAGGCCUUCGGGUUGUAAAGCACUUUUAUCAGGAGCGAAACGCUGUCGGCUAAUACCCGGCGGAACUGACGGUACCUGAGGAAUAAGCACCGGCUAACUUCGUGCCAGCAGCCGCGGUAAUACGAAGGGUGCAAGCGUUAAAUCGGAAUUACUGGGCGUAAAAGCGUGCGUAGGCGGUUUCUUAAGUCUGCUGUGAAAUCCCCGGGCUCAACCUGGGAAUGGCAGUGGAUACUGGGAGGCUAGAGUGUGUCAGAGGGUGGUGGAAUUCCCGGUGUAGCGGUGAAAAUGCGUAGAGAUCGGGAGGAACAUCAGUGGCGAAGGCGGCCACCUGGGACAACACUGACGCUGAGGCACGAAAAGCGUGGGGAGCAAAACAGGAUUAGAUACCCUGGUAGUCCACGCCCUAAAAACGAAUGCGAACUGGAUGUUGGUCUCAAACUCGGAGAUCAGUGUCGAAAGCUAACGCGUUAAAGUUCGCCGCCUGGGGGAAGUACGGUCGCAAGACUG